GGUGGCGUGUGUCGAAUGGCUAGGCAGCGGCCUGCAAAGCCGUAUUAUGCGGGUUCGAGUCCCGUCGCCACCU
This 73-nucleotide transfer RNA is filed under the name Candidatus Ancillula prorhinotermitis. RNAcentral's name for it is "tRNA-Cys". It matches the Rfam family "tRNA". Rfam says of the family: Transfer RNA (tRNA) molecules are approximately 80 nucleotides in length. Their secondary structure includes four short double-helical elements and three loops (D, anti-codon, and T loops). Further hydrogen bonds mediate the characteristic L-shaped molecular structure. tRNAs have two regions of fundamental functional importance: the anti-codon, which is responsible for specific mRNA codon recognition, and the 3' end, to which the tRNAs corresponding amino acid is attached (by aminoacyl-tRNA synthetases). tRNAs cope with the degeneracy of the genetic code in two manners: having more than one tRNA (with a specific anti-codon) for a particular amino acid; and 'wobble' base-pairing, i.e. permitting non-standard base-pairing at the 3rd anti-codon position. Lineage: Bacteria; Bacillati; Actinomycetota; Actinomycetes; Bifidobacteriales; Bifidobacteriaceae. The record is from RNAcentral.